CCUCGGUCGAGUGCGGUCGUGAGUUUGUUGAACAUUUGUGGACGCCUGUGAACUUUGAGUAGGUCGUGGUGAAUAUAAAUGAACUCUGUCCAUACCCUGAUAAAUAAACUAGUGAACAGCUGUAAGUUUACUGAAUACAGAUGAGAGAGAAGUGAUGAACAUUAAAUUCCAGUAAACCUAAAUGAACAUCCUAGAUCAACGUUCAAUUAUCGUGAACAGUAGUGUGAAGAGAUGAAUUAUGUACACUGUUGAACAUAGAGCAUUGAACAACACGUAUUAUAUGUAAAUGCAUAAAGAAAUAAUCCGUCUUUUGAACAAGUUUGAACUCUCUGCUUCUGGCUGCACCUAACUUAACUGAACUUUGUCUAAGUUUAAGUGAAUAACCUGAAAACUUUGACAAACUUUAAGCAUUUUCCUCUCCUUGGGUAAUAUCUCUCGAAAUCUGGUCAAAUUUGUGUUUGAACUUUGAACAGACUUGAGUGGUAUCUAUUCCUUCUAUCUCGUCGUGUUGAACGUGUGAACAGUUCUGUGUGAGUAAACUUUUGAACAUCUGAACAUAUUUGUGAACUUUUGAACCACUAAGAUCCCUGCGUAAGAAAGUUAACAGAACAGCUGAACAGUUUUGUGCAAGAGAGUAAACUUCUGAACAGUUCUGAACAGGAGAGUGAACAUUGAACAUCUUGAAGGAGUGUGAACAGGCAAGAAGCUGUGACGGCUGAACAACACAAAGUGUGUGCAGGUGUGUCCAACAGGUGUGGGCAGACGGCAGUGAUGUGGAGGACGGUGUGGGUGAGUUAGACCUCUCUGAGCAGCCCACGUCAGCCCACGACAACUCAAGUCAUCUCUAUCUCAGCUAGACCCAAGCCCACGACACCCCACAUCAUCCCACACUACCCUUCGUCAGCCCACGUCAGUCCCAGGCCAACUAGACCCCAACUCAGCCCAUCUCACCAUAACCCGUCAUCAACAACACAUGCACCAGCCCACUGUCUAAAGCCCAUGACCUCUCUGAAGCGGGGAGAGGCAGUGAGAGGUGAGGGGUGGUGAGCGGUGAGG
Homarus americanus (American lobster) is the source of this 1056-nucleotide long non-coding RNA. RefSeq lists it as uncharacterized. NCBI's taxonomy places the organism in Eukaryota, Metazoa, Arthropoda, Malacostraca, Decapoda, Nephropidae. The record is from RefSeq and is a predicted model, not a curated record. The transcript is spliced from 3 exons.